AGACUGGAUCCAGCCAGCCUCCAGGAGGGAGGAGAGGGACAUCGUGGUGGCCCUGGUCUCCCUGCAGGGCUCAGCAGCUCCCUCAGGACAUGGGGAAAGCUGGGAACCCUGAGACAGCACUGGAAGUUCUUGCUGCCUAAAUCUCUCCUGCCUGCUGCCCAGGGACCCCAUUUCUUCCCAUUCAGGGCUCUGCAGAGGCAGAAGAUGAGCAGCAAAGAUCUGAUGACCUUCAGAGCUGGAUGUUCUCACGGAGCUACACAUGCCACGAUCAUCACUAUUUGUAAGAGUCUCCAGUGUGCAUGAAGCCCAUUUUGCUGGAGGAUUAGUCCCCGCCCUUCAGGAGUGCCAAGGAAGACUCUGGAUUCUACGUCGCAUCUCUCCUGCUGCAAUUUUUUCCUCUUGAUAAUCUCACUGAUAAAACUUCCAAUAAGGAACAUUUCUCCCCAUGAGCAAGUUCUUACCUUCACUGCCAGGGAGGCCCCAGCUAAGGUUAUACUGGGGAGGGACUCUCUGGGGAGUACCUGGAAGAGGUCAGCUUCUCCUCAAAGGAAGCCUCUCCAGCUGGUGUACUGCAAGCCCUUCCAAGACCAAGAUCCCCCCUCCUGGCCUUUGGAACCAGCCUGUGUGCCAGUGCUGUGUCCCCAGUAACACACAUGUCCCUCGGAAGCCAUAGGAGGAUGCAGAGAGAGACCAAACUGAGAUUGAUUCUCAGCCCUAGCACUUACUCACUGUGUGGACAUAACCGCUCUGGACCUCAGCUUUGCUGUCUAUAAAAUGAGCACCAUAACAUGAACACAGGGAGAGUCAUAAAGACUGAAGUUGAUCUGUGCUGCGCCUGGCACAGAGGCCUCCCUCGAUAAAUGGCAGCCAUUGCUUUUGGGGUGCCCCAACACCCCUUGCCCCCACCCACCACCGGCUCCCACUUGGGCCCACACUGAGGAUGUGGCUGUUGUGUUGGGGAAAGGAAAAAAAAAGGCCAUGCCUGCCAUUCAGGGUCCCCACCCCCAACUGGUCUGCUUCUGUGGGAAGCAUUUUCUGAUGCCCUCACCCUACCCCUGGGCUGGGUGGCUAAGUGUCCAGCACCAUGGGGAAAGGACCAGCAUUCAGGGACAGGUUGGUUCAGCCCAGAAGAUCGUCCAGGCCUAGGUCCGGAAGCGAGCCAUGCCUGGGCUUCCCUUGCCCCCUCACCUGUCCUGCAGCAGCCGCUCCUGGAUGGCGAAGCACCUUGGAUGUCAAGUGUGGGCCUUCCCGGGCACAUGACAUGAGGGGGCACUUCUGUGGGUUGUUGGGGGCAGGAAGGGAUCUGUCCCCAGCUGGAUCUGGGUUCUCCCAUUUUGGGACCCAGUCAUGCCAGGGCAGCACACAUGGGCACUUAGCACACACUUCAUGAUGGAGCAGAGGAGGAACAAGGCAGAACCAGGCAGUCCCCAGGCCCCUGCUCUUGCCCUGCCCAGAGACAGUAGAGCAGGUAUCUCCAGCUCCUUAACCUCAACACACAGGAAGAAAUACAUUUUACAGCAACCGACAGACACAUGCAUUCACAAAACGA
Molecule: RNA transcript, 1549 nt
Organism: Saimiri boliviensis boliviensis (Bolivian squirrel monkey)
Lineage: Eukaryota; Metazoa; Chordata; Mammalia; Primates; Cebidae
Gene name: long intergenic non-protein coding RNA 2874
Source: RefSeq, a predicted model, not a curated record